This 6725-nucleotide unclassified non-coding RNA is filed under the name Leishmania donovani. RNAcentral describes it as "gene:LdHU3.35.2960(CDS-product:ATP-dependent_RNA_ helicase-like_protein)". The record is from RNAcentral. Lineage: Eukaryota; Euglenozoa; Kinetoplastea; Trypanosomatida; Trypanosomatidae.
GUGCCUGCGGUAUUGAUUGCAUGAGUGGAAAGAAGCUGGCCCGCUCUCCUUCCCGAAAAAAAAAAACAAAAAGAUCAGCGGAUCAAGAAGUCUGUUUGCCACUCUUGUGCAGUGCGUGUACGUGUGCUGUUUGCCUGCAAGCUGGCACCUUCCUUGUGCCUCGGCGUGUUGAGGUGAUUGCGCACCGACCUCUGUCUUUCUCUUUCGUAUCGUUUUCUCCAGUUCUAUUGCUGCCACGGUGCUGCUCCAGCAUCAUGAGCGGCCACAAUCCGAACCGUGCUGAGAGACUGGGCAGCGGUGGUGGCGCGCCGGCGCGCAACCCCAUCACUUACAAUCUGGCCGCCCUCCGCCUUGCACAGUCCCCGAACGGAAGGGGCCAAAUAUCGCCGCCGGUCCCUUCCGGCGAUGGUGGGUCUAUUAGGCUGAGCAGCAGCGGCGCAGCAUCUGAUGUGCCGCUGUCUGUCUUGCUUGCAGGUCUCGGUACCCCAGCUGCUACUGUCAACACAGCGUCGCCGCACCCGGCGGUGGCCUCCGGGCCUAGCGCUCUCUCACUAGUCGGAGGCGGCAGGCCGCCCGUGAGAGUCGCAGGCGCUUCCGCGGCAGUACUGCCGCCUGCGAUGGGGUAUCCGGAUGCUGCUCCAACCAUAGAAUCCGGACUACCUUCCAAGUUGACGGGCGUAGCGCAGUCUGACCAAGCGUCACCAGCACCGAUGGCUGCACCAGGUCCGCGAGGGGCAACACUGGGCCCCACUGACAACAAACAGCCUUUUCUGGCGGGUGCGCCGACCGGCGCACCACCCCCGCCGCCGCCGUCGUCACUGGGUCACGCCCCCAUGCCAAGGCCAAGUGGACCGUUAGUGUUUCCUCCGAGCACACACACCAGCAUCCCCUCUCAAGCUGCAGCGGCCUCCUCAGCGCGGUCUGCACCCUCUAAACUGUCGGCCCCACCACAGUGGACGAGUGCCGCGCCUUCUAGCGUCCCACUUCCGCAUUCGGCACAAGCGCGCCGCGCAGACCCGACCCAACCGGGCUCCGCCUUCAUGCGGACGCAGAAUCGGCCGCCAGCGCCGUUCCUAGCAGGCGUAGCGAAGUCGCAAGGCAGGCUGCCUACUCCUCAGACGCCCCUCUAUCAACAUCCGCCGGUGGCACCCGUGCCGAGUCGCGGGACUUUUAACGAGGCCGCAGAGCCAGCAACAGCUGUCGCUGCUGCUCCUCUUCCGCAGUCACAACCGCACGCCGGUAUACCUCCUCCGGUACCGCGGUCUCAGCUUGCUGGGAUGCCGACUCCUCUCAGCCAGUCAUCAGGUGCAGCGUCCCCGUCGGCUGCCGCUCCCUUCAGUGCCCCAUCCCCAAAAGCUGCCGGGUCGCUCUUGUCGCCUCCGCUGCCGUCGCAGCAGCGGAGAUCGAACUCUCAGCGCCUUCCGUAUCCGCUGCCGCAGCCUCUUUCACAGCAGACCGCCUCGGCGCGAUCAUCAGUGCCCCCUCCGGCUCCGAUGUCAGCCAACACAGCAUCUCCGUUUCGGCCCACACCAACCUCGCCACUGCCCGCUGUCGCCGCGGCACCCGUUGUCGAUACACCCGCUACGACAACCCCGACUGUCACGCCGAUUUCCGCUGCUGCGCCAGCCGGCGCUUCUGAUUCUGCUCCUGCCGCUGCAUCCCUACCCACGGAUAUUUGCUUAGCACUGCAGCAGAUGAGCAUUCACGCUCGCAUAGCGCCGUAUCCACCACCACCGUCAACUGCGACAGAGGCCGCUGCCGCGACACCCACGCCCGCUGCGGCUUCGAGCUCCGCCGGCUCGCCUAUAAAGAAGCUGCAGCAGCUCAUGCAGCAGCCGCAGGCGCGGCUGAACUACUACGCCGCAUUGCCGCCGCGUGUGGCAGUGCAGCGUGAGCAAGACCGCUACGGCAGGGGCAACCGAGCACAGAGGAUGAACUACCGCCAACCACCGCCACCGCACCACCAGCAGCGUCAUCUGCCAUCGGCGCCGCCACAGCAGACCAAAGCGACUCCCCUCGCUCAUGUCGCCGACAUCGAUCCGGCCGUUGCGAAGCGCUUCCAGGAUGAGUACGCGCAGCAGAACGACAACGAGAACAUCGGGGACGACUUGCGGGCGCAGCAGGCGACGAAGAUGGGCACGAUUGGCACGCUAGAUGAGGAACUGUGCCUGUCCCUGAUUGAGACUCACGACGUCACGUUUGUCGUCACGGAUACCGGUACGGGCAAGAGCACCCGUAUCCCAAUGGCCCUGCACAAGGCGCACCCGGAUGCACUCGUCGUGAACGCGCAGCCGCGCCGUACCGCUGCGAUCAACCUUGCCCAGCGCGUCGCGGAGGUGCUUGACGCGGAGCUCGGUGAAGAGGUAGGCUACUCGGUGCGCGGAGAGCAUAUCGGCGACCUUGGUGAGACGAAGAUAAUGUACGUUACAACCUACUCCCUCUUUAUCUACUUUCUGUGGCACGAGUUCAAAGAGAAGCUGCCGUUUUCCUACAUCAUUGUCGACGAGUUUCACGAGCGCACACCGGAUGUGGAGGUCAUUCUGCUGAUGCUGAAGCUGUGGCUUCAUAAACACCCGGGUGCCUUUAAGCUUGUCCUGUGCAGCGCGACGGCGCAGGUGGAGGAGUGGCAGAGCUUCUUCGACGGCCUUACGGUCGGCACCUACGCCCGCUCCCCUAUCAUGUACCCCGUGCAGGAGUACUUCAUCGAGGACCUGCAGCGCCUCACCGGCAUCCGCACUGCACCGAUUUUGCCGCAGGAUAGCAACAACAUGGUAACAUCGGAGCAGAUGCAUCAGCUCAUUCUAGUGUGCAAACAGCUGCUUGAGUACCUGGCUAAGAACACGGCGACGCAGGACAGCGUGCUCGUGUUCAUGCCUGGCCGUACGCAAGUGGAGCUGAUGACGACAUGGAUUCGCGAGAACCUGGAGGAGUCACUGGAGCCGAUCGCGUGGUACCGCGACGUCGAGCUGUCUCUGAUCCAGGAGGCCCUCGCGCGGCCUGCAGUAACCCGCAAGAAGGUCUACGUCGCCACAGACAUCGCCGAGGUGAGCUUGACGCUGCCGGACGUGGUGUUUGUGAUCGACUCCGGGACAGGCAAGCGGCCGCAGGUCUCGGAGAAGGAGAAGACAAGCUACGCUUUUCCGCCUCUUCGGCUGCUGUGGGAGACGACGUCGAACGCGCAGCAGCGCCGCGGCCGUGUUGGUCGUGUGCAGCAGGGCUUCUACUUCAGCCUUCUCAGCCGCGACCACCACAAGGCGCUGCGCGAAUCAGAUAAUCGCAUCAAGAACGCUGUCCUCACUGAGCUCGUCCUUCACUCCCUGCUCAUCACGCAAAAGCCGUUCGCCUUCUUCCAGCUGUGCAACGAGAAGCCAGAGCGCGGCGCUCUCGCCUACAGCCUUCACCUGCUACAGGAUGGCGGCCAUAUUAUUCGCAAGGACGACCCCAUGGCGGACGCGGAGCGGGUGUCGCUUGACCGCCAGCGCACGACGCACGUCAUGGACUCGCCCUGGAAUGCCCUCAUCGAGGAGGCGCUUGCAGCGGCCCCGGCGGCCUUUUCUACUGCUUCUGCCGAUGCGGCAAAACACUCCCCGGCUACAAAGGAGGCGGCAGAGGGCCCCAGCAGCAGUGACGAGGUCGGCGACAAGGGCUACGGAGACGAAGAGGACUCUGUCGAGGCCGCGAAUCCAGAGGCCGACACAGAGGCUUUCCAGCAGUGCUACUUCAUGACCCUGCGGGGCGUCAUCGCGGCCCGCUCGCCGGUGUCGGUCGCGGCUGCCACAAACGUUUUCUUCGGCCUACUGUACGGCACCCCGACGCUGAGCAUGCUGGCGGCCGCCAUCGAGUCUUCCAAGUCGCCGUUUCACGUGCCGUACACCGUCAGCGACCGCAUGGAGCGCGCGGCGAUGGUGCGUCACGUGUCGAACGUUAUGCAGCGCUACCACGGCUCGCUGCAGAGUGAUUUGAUCUGCUCCAUGGAGGUUAUCCUCGAGUACAUGAGCAUGCAGCGCGACGGGCUGUCCGAGGAGGCGCAGGAGGAGUGGUGCCAGGAGCGCAGCCUGAGUCGCACUCGCGUCGUCGAUACACUGAAUUUGUUCUCGCAGAUGAAGGAGCAGGUGAGCUCGGUGCUGCCGUUCCCGGACGUCACAGACAUCGACGUACUCAAUGCCCAGUUUAACCAGAACGCUGAGCUCCUUGUGCUCAUGCUCGUGGCGUCGCACACAGAGCUGGCGAUUCAGGUGCAGCUGGACGGCCCUGUCGCGCAGAGGAAGGGCUUUGUGGGACACGGUAUGUUCUUCCCGCUCAAGUGUCUCAAGGACGAGUCGGUGCCGACCGUGUGCCCGUGGGACCGCACCAAGAUUAGCGUGCCACUUUCUCUACAGACGAUUCAGCGCAAAGUGCUCGCCGUGUUCGCCUCGCAGGUGGAACCAGACCUGUUCGCGCUGGUGCUGCUCGUCUUCUCUUACAAGCUCCACUACUCGGUUCAGGACAGCGGCGCCACCCCGUCGUUCCUGAUGGCCGUCAGCCACUCUGGUGUGCGCCGCACCUUUCAGUGCGACACCCUCACCGCACAGCAGAUUCUGCAGCUGCGCCGCAUUCAGUGCGCCCAGCUGCGGUGCAUGCAGCUGCAGGUGGAGGAACGCGUGAAGGCGAAUGAGAGCGAGAAGCUCAGUGCCGUGCUGAAGAGCGCCAACAGUGACUUUGGAUUACCGGAGAGUGCCAUAAAGACGCCCUACCUCAUUCCUACAGUGCUGCAGCACGGCCUGAAGCUGCUCGUGAGCCGACUGAAGGGCUCACCUUCUUACACGGCUCAGCGACGCGGCAUCGCGGAGUUCCCGCCCGGUACGCCGUACUGCAAGCUCGCUCACGGCGCGGAGCUGCCGCCGCCGGUGCUGCAGUCGGUGCUCAUCCACAGCAACAAUGGCCUCUCCGUGCUGCAGCCGGCAGCAACGGCGGCAGCCGCAGCGACCCCCUUGGCGACAGUCGGCGUAGCGACGGGUGCGGUGGAGCAUAGCGACGAGGCAGCCGUCGCGCUGGCGGAAGCGCCUUCUCCGGCAGUGGAAAGUAAGUCGGAAAGCGAUGACGACGAUGAUAGCGACCGCAGCAGCGACUCUGCUGCACAUGUGCCAACGUUCAGCUAUGACAUUUAGAUGUGCGCGAGAGCGAGAGUGGGCCGACUCGUCGGCCUUGAAAGGGGAAAGCCCUUCGUGGCGCGAAAGAGGCGCAAGCGACACGCAAAGAGAGCGGUGACUGCUGAGCGGCUUACUUUCAAGGUCUGGCGUAUGCGGACCUCUUUCUAUACUCGAUCCCCUACCCUGUGCGCUGCCGCCCCCUUUCUUUUGGCCUUUCCUGUUGGUCUUGAGUAGCGCGGCCCUGGGCAUUCGCUCUUUGUUCUCUUCCUCCCUCCUCUCCCCCUUCCUCUCUCCCGUCUGCACGCGUACAUGUGUCUUUGUCUGCGUGGGUAGCGGUUAAGUAUUGAGCUAAGGCUGUCUUCUGUUGUGUGCUCCUUUCCUUUGUUUUUUUUUUGUUCUUUUCCGUUUCCCUUUCCGCCUUCGUGUAUUUUUGGCGUGUGGUACCCGACAUGAUGAUGAAGCCUUGCUGUUGUUGCCUCCGGUGUGUGCAUGUAUGUGUGCGCGAGGGAGUUGUUGGCGUAUUUGUUCUUCCCCUCUUUUCUCCCUCCUUUUUUUGUUUGCUACGUCGCUCACCCACACGCCCCCACACGCACGCACUCGUGCUCUCGUUUCGUUCUUCCCUUUUCGUCUCUUCUUCCCCUCCCCCUCCCUCCCUCCCCUCCCGCAUGGAGCGAAGCUUGCCGGUGGGGGCGUCAAAGCGAAACGAGUCGUUGUGCGCGAAGGAGCGAGGGAGGGAGGAGACACGAAGGAGAAGACAAUCAGACAUGGCAGUUCGUAAAUAGUCUUGGGCGCUGCACGGCUCGACCUCCUCCCUUCCAGCUCACCCUGACGUCUUCCUGUGUAUAAAAGAUAUGUAUAUGCAUAUCUUUUAUACACGUAUAUACAUAUAUAUGUGUCUUUGCCGUUGUCGUUGUCACUAUGUGUGCCCGCUUCUGAGCAUUACCAAUACAUUCAUGUUUAAUUCAUGUCGUCGUUGCUGUGGUGGUGAUGAUGAGUGGGCUUUGAGGUGGGGGCUGGAAAGGAGGGAGGGGAGAGGAAGAGGGCAGCGAGACAGGGGUAGGAGACAGCGUAGGCAAGAUAUGAAAUAUGGGCAACUGCGGGUCGCCUCUGCUUGUCCUCGUUUCCUUCCCCUCCCUUUGCUUCCUUCCCUACCGUCUUUUCCCCGUCGCCAUCAUUUAAUUACACCGCGGGUUCUCGAAGAGUAUCCUAACAUAACGCAAUCGCAGCAUACACCCACAGACAGACAACCACACAGACAGACAUCGAGAAAGCGAGAGACACGCCAGCUACAGCAGCAGAUCUUACUGCUUCGCCGACAGGUAAAGUCUGCAGGCCGCGCCGUGCUCUACGCUCUUGGCCUCUCAGAGGUAAUGCCGAAAGGCAGCGAAGAGGCGAGGUCAGCUUCCAGGGGUACUGUUCCUCACUAGCUUCGUGCUCUCUAAAGAGCGCCUACCACGACCAUACCGUGAGAUCGGGGAGGAGUUGCGGGUGCGAUUGAUGCGCGUGCGUGUCUUCCGUGAUGUUGCUUUCUUUAUUGUGUCUUUUUGCACCUCUCUUUCUUUCUAUGAUUCUCCUGCUUGUAUCCACCACACGCAG